Molecule: long non-coding RNA, 1953 nt
Filed under: Salmo salar (Atlantic salmon)
Lineage: Eukaryota; Metazoa; Chordata; Actinopteri; Salmoniformes; Salmonidae
Description: lncRNA (ENSSSAG00000110403.1)
Source: RNAcentral
CCUACCUCUCUCUCUCUACCUCUCUCUACCUCUCUCUCUCUACCUCUCUCUCUCUCUCUACCUCUUCAUCCUCCUCUCCCUUCACCCCUCUCUCCCGGUCCCAUUCCUCUCUCCCUAUUCUGACCUAAUCACAGAUCAUUAGUUGCCAUGACAUUGUGAUUGUUUUUAUAUUAAAUGACUGCUAUCAUAGUUAUAUCAGAUUGUUAUCAGCUGGAUGGUGAAGCCACUAUUUUAUGGACCACAUAUUGAUUGCGACCCAAAUGCCACCCUGUUUUCUAUAUAGUGUACUUGUUUGUCACAUGUUCUCUCACCAGAAGAGUGGUUAGGUCCCAAAUGAGACCCUAUUCCUUAUAUAGUGCACUACUGUUGACCAGAGCCCUAUUCCCUAUAUAGUGCACUUCUUUAGACCAGAGCCCUAUUCCCUAUAUAGUGCACUACUGUUGACCAGAGCCCUAUUCUCUAUAUAUAGUACACUACUUUUGACCAGAGCCCUAUUCCCUAUAUAGUACACUGCUUUAGACCAGAGCCCUAUUCUCUAUAUAUAGUACACUACUUUUGACCAGAGCCCUAUUCCCUAUAUAGUACACUACUUUAGACCAGAGCCCUAUUCCCUAUAUAGUACACUGCUUUAGACCAGAGCCCUAUUCUCUAUAUAUAGUACACUACUGUUGACUAGGGCCCUAUUCCCUAUAUAGUACACUACUGUUGACCAGAGCCCUAUGGGGAAUAGGGGGCCAAUUGGGACGCAGUCUGUAUGUGAAACUGGUCAGUUUUUAAAUGUAUGUUUCUGGGGUUCUUAUUGGUAGUCUGAUUCUCUGAUCAUGUCUGUGGUUGUUAUGGUUACCGUCUGGUCCAGUUCAUACAGACUGUUUUGGUUGUUGUUUCUUUGUUCUGUCCGCUGUUUAUCUCUCUCUCGUUUUGUGGUUUAACUGUCUGUGGUCAGGUUCUGACCAAUCAGAUGCCUCUGUGGUCAGGUUCUGACCAAUCAGAUGGCUCUGUGGUCAGGUUCUGGCCAAUCAGAUGCCUCUGUGGUGGUGUUGUGACUACUGCUGUCUCAGUACUCCUGGAGGACCCCUGGUGUUUCUGAUAGAUUAACUUCCGUCCAGCCCGGGAUUCAAUCAAAGGCGCAUUGUGGAUUAUUAGCACACCAAAUUAGACUGUUCAAUCUAAUGUAGACUUCAGCUGACAUCCGCAGCGUUUACCAUGAAUACCAUCUCCACGAAGGUCAGAGAAAUGACCUGCUUAAAGGUGCAUUGUGGACAGUGCGCCUUUGGUUGAAUCCCAGCCACGGUCUCAUUCAGACCUGGGACACCAAAUCAUGUAUCAAAUACAUGUCCCAAAAUGGCACCCUAUUCCCUACAUAGUGCACUCCUUUUGACCAGAAUAGCACCCUAUUCCCGAUAUAGUGCACUACAUUUGACCAGAGCCCUAAAAGUAGUCACAGUAUAGGAAAUAGGGAGCAAUUUUGGACAUCAUCAGUGCUUCAAUCCCAAAUGGCUCACUAUGUAGUCUACUACCUUUGACCAGAGGCCAUAGGGGAAUAGGAGGCCAUAGGGGAAUAGGAGGCCAUAGGGGAAUAGGAGGCCAUAGGGGAAUAGGAGGCCAUAGGGGAAUAGGAAGCAUUUGGGAGGCCAUAGGGGAAUAGGAGGCCAUAGGGGAAUAGGAGGCAUUUGGGAGGCCAUAGGGGAAUAGGAGGCCAUAGGGGAAUAGGAGGCCAUAGGGGAAUAGGAGGCCAUUCAGUGUCUGUCAGCCCUCCAGGUCUAGUUUGACCUUACAUCUCCCUGGUUAAAUGGAACUGGAUUCGUCACUCACUGCUUCUCAAUGUUUUAUGGAGUGUAUGUAUAUUAUUAUAUGAUCACAUUUUAAAACAACUGAUGUGUUGACCUCUAAGUACCCUGUGAACUGUUUGUGUUGAGAAAAAAAUUAAAAUAAAUAGAUUUAUGUAAAAUUUGA